Long non-coding RNA from Chinchilla lanigera (long-tailed chinchilla), 525 nucleotides. RefSeq lists it as uncharacterized. The record is from RefSeq and is a predicted model, not a curated record. Lineage: Eukaryota; Metazoa; Chordata; Mammalia; Rodentia; Chinchillidae. The transcript is spliced from 3 exons.
CGCCCGGGACCCCGCGCCCCGCCUUGGCUACGUCGGUCCUGGCUGGGCUCCCGGGACGCCAGCGACCCGAAUCGGAGCCGUCCCUGCUCCGGGCCCGCUGGGGCCUCAUGGGGACCUCACCACGCUCUGUGCCCUAAAACAGCACGCGGACCAGGAGGACUUGGCGCCUGCUCACCCGUUUCCACGAGUUCCUCCUUUUGCUGACCCCCACCUGUGCUGCUGCGCACCCCAUCCUGCGGUACAUGUGGCCACCCAGCCAAGGUUGGACAGUGGGGUGUACCUGGAAAAGAUAGAUCCACCUCCAAGUUCUGCCUUUGAACAAAGUAGUUUUCUUUUUUUUAAAGGAUAGCUCGGGUCGGGGAUAUAGCUCAGCAGCACAGCGCCUGCCCGGAAAAGCUGGACCAGAACACCAUCCUGUACUCCAUGAUGGAAACUACGUGUUAAUGAAGGAGCCACCCUUGUCACUCUGGAUAAUAUAAUCCUUGUUAUGUAAUAGAGAAACAGCUUUCUCAUUUAAGCACUGUA